CGGAGGCGGAGCCCGAGCCCGCCCUGCAGGCCCCCCUCGCGCCGGCCGCGCCGCACCGGGGAUCCCCGCUCUCCGCCGCGCACCGCGAGGGUCGCCAGGCCGGAGUCACCCGUCCCGGAAAAGGACCGCGCAGCAGACCCGAGGUUUCGCGACAAACGAGCAGUUGUCCCCAUCGCGGCCUUCCGGGCGCAGAGUUUUCUCAAAACAGCGGACACCUGCGAGGCCGAAAGGCUCCCUCAGCCUCAAAGAACAAAAACCACCAGGAGCGUUCAAAGGGCAUUUACGGAGGCCAUGUUUCUUCAGAGAAGUUCAGGAGGAUAAAAGUACUGGAAGGCGCCCCUGGGAGAGGAAAUGGAAAUACAGAGACUUUCCAGAGGCUGACCCAGUUUCCUGACCUGACUCCACUGCUCACUGUGAUCACAGCUCCUCUAAGCCUCACUCCUCAACUCUACCAUGAGGAUAAUCAUAGUUCCCACUCCAGAGGGGUGUGGUGAGAGUUAACUAAGAAGGCACUGGGCACUCUGCGUGGUGACAGUAUACCUGAAGAGUCAAGCCUAAAGAGGUGAACCAGAGAGAUGGUAGAGAGACAGGGCUCUAAGGACGCUACUGAGUCUCCGCUUUCACAGCGUCCCUCAACUCAGCUCUCUUCCUGGACUUCCCUUUUUUGUUUGCCUGCUCUGGGUUCUAUUCCUGCCACUGACAAACAUUUAACUAAUAAAAAAGGAAAACUGUGAGGAAUUUGGAAGAGAGGUCAUUCCUUAACCUCACAGCCAGCAUCAGGGGAGAUGGAGACAUGUAUACUGUGUGGAAGAAAGGUAGUGGGGCAUGUGUAAAGGACAAAGGCAACCAUCAAGAGGGGAGGGUCAUCCUGAGAAGCAGUGGAGGUCAAGGGAGGAAUUUCACACAGAACAGGGAUUUGGCAGUACAGAGGGGUUUAACUCCAAUUCUGAAUCACACCACUGUUCUUGUGUUUCAAUACAUAAUACACCUGUGCUUUGUUACUAUCAAUUUUCUGAAAAGAGCCCACGUGUGAAAUUUGUCCAGAACACUGAACUCACAGGUGCAUCAACAGUAAACAAAGGAUUAUCGUUACUAAUGGGAAAGUUGCAGAUUACCUGAAGGAUGGAGGGUAUACCUCUGAGACUGGUACCAUGUAGCUAAGAGUUGCUUAUUAUGAUAAAAAAAAAAAAAAAAAAAAACUUUUAAAAUU
Molecule: long non-coding RNA, 1210 nt
Organism: Canis lupus familiaris (dog)
Lineage: Eukaryota; Metazoa; Chordata; Mammalia; Carnivora; Canidae
Exons: 3
Source: RefSeq, a predicted model, not a curated record